UGCCUCCUCGCCCGCCCUAAUUCUUCCACUGCAGCCCGUCGCCGCCGUCGUCACUCCAGCUCCGUCGCCGCGUCGUCACUCCAGAUUCGUCGCCACUGUCGCCGCCGUCGCCGUUCCAGCCCUGUCGUCGCCGUCAACGCUCCAGCUCCGUCGCCGCUCCAGCCCUGUCGUCGCCGUCGCCGCACCUUCUCCCACUGCCAUUUCAAUUUCUACAGCUUCUGGUGUUUGGAGACAGAAAAACCGGGUUAAUCAGUGCUGAAUGACUGCAGGAUCCAACCAAGGGGGAGUUCGGAGAGGAGUUGGUGUCAUUAACGGGCUCCUUCCACAAAUCUGUGACUACUUCAUUGAAAGGUAACCGAAUAGAUGAAGCUGGUGCUGCUUUUGAUGAGAUUGAGAGUGCUCUAUCGAACUUCGAUGAUGGGCCAUAUUUUCUUAGCCAGCUCAGUUUGAUGGAUAUUGCCUAUAAUCUCUUCGUUGAAAGAUAUCAACCCUUCUUCUCUUGAGUUAAGAACCACGACAUCACAGUAGGAAGGCCGAAACUUGCACUUUGGAUUGAGAGGAUGGCAAAACAUUUUGCUGGGGAUGGAACAAAGAUGGGCAGCUUGGUUUGGGUGACGCGAUAGAUCGGAAUACUCCUCUCAAGUAGCGAUGGAGGGAUAUGUGGCGAGAAACGUGGAAUGCGGGUGGUGACCACACUUCUCCUAGAUGAGCCAACUAGCUGAUCAUGUCCCUCCCAGCCGAGACGAGUACAAUUGAGCCAACAGUCCCACAAGUCAAGUUACUCCGCUGCCCGACCUGAUGAUUGUACUACAUGAACAUAAACCGUUAUUUUGUUAACUAAUUUUAGAAUUUGCACUUAUGCUCAAUAUUAUUAAACUUUGGUGUAAUGAAUAAUUUUGAGUAAUUAAUGAGUAUUCGUGUCUAUUGUUA
Molecule: non-coding RNA, 930 nt
Organism: Salvia hispanica
Lineage: Eukaryota; Viridiplantae; Streptophyta; Magnoliopsida; Lamiales; Lamiaceae
Source: RefSeq, a predicted model, not a curated record